AUGGAAGCGGGCCGCGCGACAAUCGUCGCCUCCGCCGUGGCCAGGUUGAAGCCACCGCGGGCGACGCUGACGCAUGACGCUCCGGCCGCCGUCCUCGCGCCGCCCGUCGCCGACGCCCCGCACGCCGAGUGGCGGGGGCUACCCGACGACGUCGUCGCCAGGGUGCUCGUCCGCCUCCCCGUCGUCGACCUGUUCCGCCUCGGCUACCUCUUCUCCCCGCGCUGGCUCGACAUCUGGCGCGCCGAGCCGCUGUAUCUCCAUGACCGCCAGUUCGCCUCUCCCCGGAUCGCCGCCGCCGACGUCGCCGACGCCAUUGCCAACGUUCUCGAGCUCCACGUAGGCGACGGCGUCCAGUUCGUAGGCGUACAAGGAGAGAACGGGAGCGACGACGACGACGACGGAGAUGGAGGUGGAGGCAACGAGGUAGUUGGCGCGGAUGGCCACGAUUCUGGACCCGGGGUUGCCGUCGAACUCGAACACGAGGCAGCAGAUCAAGGCGGUGGAGUCGUCAACAAUUCUGACGGUGGAGGUGUCGCCGGCCGCCGUCGCCUCCGAUUCCCUGGAGGCGUAGGCGCCGACGACGGCGUCAUCAGCGACGACGACAUCUACGGCCACGACGACAUCCCAGAUGGUGGUUACGAGAUCGGCCGCGUCUACAGCUUCCGAGUGGAGACCACGCGGUGGCGCGCCGACCAACUCCACCGCUGGUGCGCCGCGCUCCAGCGCGGCCGUGUUCGUGAGGUCACCCUCGCCAACCUCACCAUGGAAGGGCACCCCGAGCUCCCCCAGGGCAUCCGCGACUGCGCCACAAGCCUCAAGGGACUCCACGUCUUCUUCUUCACCAUGGAAGCCGACCACAUCGACUCCCUCGUCAACCUCCGCGUCCUCGGGCUGUAUGGCUGCCCCGGCAUGAUCCUGCGAGCACUCCGCCCCGAAUCGGAAAUCCGGGUGCUGACGAUCGACUUCAGCCGUCUGGUAGACGUCCUCGUCCAGACCACGCGCCUCCGCUCUCUGGAGAUGCACAACAACGUGGUGCAGGGCACGGUCGUCGUGCACGACGCCAUCCAACUCCGGAAGCUGCACCUGUUACCACCGACGAGACCAUCCAAGAUCUUCAUCGGUGAAGCGCCCAGCCUGCGAAGCAUCGGCUAUCUCGAUCUCUUCAACACCGUCUUCGUGAUCAAAGGCAUUGUGAUUCAGGCUGGGAUGGUGCUGCAUCCUCCAAAGAUGCGUUCUGUCAGGAUUCUCGGCUUACGGGUGAACUACACAGAGAUGGGUCACAGGGUGCCCCGUGAGAUAGAGCAGAUUCUGAAGUGUUUCCCAUGCUUAGAGAAACUGGAGAUCAUGAGAUACGAUGAGGUUGCACCAGAAGAAGGGCUCCUCAAAGCGGAUGAUGAACACAUCUAUCAAGGGAACAAUUUCUUCCGUGACCUUGGUUGUUUCAGCCAUCACCUGAGGUGGAUAUAUCUUACAGCUUUCAGAGGGGGCAAGUAUGAACUUGCUCUGGGCAAAGCCAUCCUCGACGAAGCUCGAGCCGGGACAAUGUUCAAAAUGCUACACCCACAAGGCAGCUAUACGGACUACAUCUCUAACCAGCUAUGGCGGGCUCUCGAACAUUUCAGAAUGACCACUCCAAAUCAUGCUGUCAGAGAUCGACAUGUGUCCGUUAUUCUACGUUUGAGAAAGGCCGGGGAUCUUCCCGGCUAGCAACGCAAGCUGCGAGCUAGCCGGUCCGGAUUCGAGCCUCACCCUCUCCUUAAUUCAAAAUUAAUCUAGUCAUUCCUAGAUUGGUCUUAUUUGUUUUGUGUCCAUUAUUCUAAGUUGAGUUACUUGAAGAAGGCUACUCCAGGUUGUUGUUCUGCGCUGCUGUACUACUGUCAGAGAGGUUAGGCUGCGCUCUUUUCUUCAAUUUGUCUAGCUGGUCAAAUGAUGUAUGCUAAGUGAGCGAAUUGUGAAUGAUGCUCUCUUUGAGUCUGCAUAAUUGAACAAUUACAAAUCUUGAUAGCAGUAAAAGAAGAUACAGUAUCUUGA
This 2031-nucleotide long non-coding RNA is filed under the name Oryza sativa Indica Group (long-grained rice). Its description in RNAcentral is "lncRNA OsLima_03g0017650". The record is from RNAcentral. Lineage: Eukaryota; Viridiplantae; Streptophyta; Magnoliopsida; Poales; Poaceae.